AACGAACGCUUGCGGCGCGCCUAAUACAUGCAAGUCGAACGAACCAGCAAUGGUGAGUGGCGCACGGGUGAGUAACGCGUGGGUAAUCUGCCCUCUACUGGGGAAUAACUAACCGAAAGGUUAGCUAAUACCGCAUGAGACCACAGCUCCUGAGGGAGCAGAGGUUAAAGAUUUAUCGGUAGGGAGUGAGCCGCGUGGGAGUUAGCUAGUUGGUGGGGUAACGGCCGUACCAAGGCUACGAUCUCUAACAGGUCUGAGAGGAUGACCUGUCA
Molecule: ribosomal RNA, 272 nt
Filed under: uncultured bacterium
Lineage: Bacteria
Description: partial 16S ribosomal RNA
Rfam family: Bacterial small subunit ribosomal RNA
Source: RNAcentral